This is a non-coding RNA of Nylanderia fulva, 1209 nucleotides long. Lineage: Eukaryota; Metazoa; Arthropoda; Insecta; Hymenoptera; Formicidae. The record is from RefSeq and is a predicted model, not a curated record.
AGGUGUUUCAAGAGAGAGAGUUUCCUCCUGAGAGUUUAUAACCUAAUAUGUAAAUAUUACAACGCUCAUACCUUUCAAUGUUGUCAUGUAUAUUUAAUACAACAUACAAUAUAAUAUCCUGACAAAGAGUAUAAAUACAUCAAAUAAUUAUCGCAGCAAGAGAAUUCGAAUUCAAACUUCUGAUAAAAACCGCCUAAUAGAAGAUUCUCAGGUAACUUAUAAGAGUCACGCAGCCAGCAUAGGAUGAGUGGCGAGGCAGCACUCCAAAAAUACACUCAAAGACCUAUGACUUUGAGACGGUCGUAAAACAUUAUUGCAUGGCAUAUCAGCAACAAGAUUAAAUUACGACAAUCCUGAACACAGCCACCAAGAUCACUACCAUCAGUUCACCGUCAUAUAUAUUAUAUGUAGCGAAGCAGCGCACUAAGAAUACUCUUGAGGACCUAUGGCUUCAUCAGGAGAGCAAUACCGCAUGAUCCAUGACAAACAGGAUUACAAAUGAUCCUGGACACAGCCAUCGAAUAAACCUCCAUUAACAGAUUCACUGUCAAGUACAGACAAGAAACAAAAUCAAGAUGAGCCAAAUAACUGUCUAAGUCAAGGAAGGAAUUCAUUUCUCAUCAAAAACUACUUCAAAAAGAUCCCUGGAUAACUCAUAGGAAUCACACGACCAGUGUCAGUUAAGUAGUUAUAAUAUAGUAAUAAUAUAACAAAUUAUAUUAUCAUUUGUUACUUAUGUCACUCCGUAUAUUAACAAAUCACACUUAAAAUACACUUAGAGACCUAUGGCUACAAGGCGAUCGAGAAGUCACUACCGCAUAACAAACAGCAGGACUACCUUGCAACAAUCUUCAACGCAACCAUCGUAUAGACCACCGUCUUCAGUUCACUGUCAUAUAUGGUCCAAAUCAAAGUCAGUAAAUGCACCAGACAACUGUCACGACAAAAGGAUUUGAACAUCUGAUCAGGAACCACUUCAUCAAGAGAUUCACAGACAAUUCAUCAAAAUUAUAUGUAUAAUAAUAACGUAGCAGCACACCAAAACAAAUGCAUUCAGAGUCCCAUGGCUUCAAGACAAUCAAAACAGCAUCAUCGCAUGGCAUAUUGGCAGCAAGACCUCACUUCAAUCCUGGACGCAUUUAUCGAGAAGUCUGUCUGUCAUCAGUUUGCCAUCGUAAGUAUGUGAGCAUUAGUACACGAUUCACUUAU